This 1351-nucleotide ribosomal RNA is filed under the name uncultured bacterium. RNAcentral describes it as "bacterial SSU rRNA". It matches the Rfam family "Bacterial small subunit ribosomal RNA", at positions 28 to 1381 of the family's 1533-position model. The record is from RNAcentral.
AUUGAACGCUGGCGGCAUGCCUUACACAUGCAAGUCGAACGGCAGCGCGGGGCAACCUGGCGGCGAGUGGCGAACGGGUGAGUAAUAUAUCGGAACGUACCCUGGAGUGGGGGAUAACGUAGCGAAAGUUACGCUAAUACCGCAUACGAUCUAAGGAUGAAAGUGGGGGAUGCGCAAGCACCUCAUGCUCCUGGAGCGGCCGAUAUCUGAUUAGCUAGUUGGUGGGGUAAAGGCCUACCAAGGCAUCGAUCAGUAGCUGGUCUGAGAGGACGACCAGCCACACUGGAACUGAGACACGGUCCAGACUCCUACGGGAGGCAGCAGUGGGGAAUUUUGGACAAUGGGCGAAAGCCUGAUCCAGCAAUGCCGCGUGAGUGAAGAAGGCCUUCGGGUUGUAAAGCUCUUUUGUCAGGGAAGAAACGGUGAGGGCUAAUAUCCCUUGCUAAUGACGGUACCUGAAGAAUAAGCACCGGCUAACUACGUGCCAGCAGCCGCGGUAAUACGUAGGGUGCAAGCGUUAAUCGGAAUUACUGGGCGUAAAGCGUGCGCAGGCGGUUUUGUAGUAUGUCGUGAAAUCCCCGGGCUCAACCUGGGAAUUGCGAUGGAGACUGCAAGGCUAGAAUCUGGCAGAGGGGGGUAGAAUUCCACGUGUAGCAGUGAAAUGCGUAGAGAUGUGGAGGAACACCGAUGGCGAAGGCAGCCCCCUGGGUCAAGAUUGACGCUCAUGCACGAAAGCGUGGGGAGCAAACAGGAUUAGAUACCCUGGUAGUCCACGCCCUAAACGAUGUCUACUAGUUGUCGGGUUUUAAUUAACUUGGUAACGCAGCUAACGCGUGAAGUAGACCGCCUGGGGAGUACGGUCGCAAGAUUAAAACUCAAAGGAAUUGACGGGGACCCGCACAAGCGGUGGAUGAUGUGGAUUAAUUCGAUGCAACGCGAAAAACCUUACCUACCCUUGACAUGUACGGAAGCCACGAGAGAUCGAGGCGUGCUCGAAAGAGAGCCGUAACACAGGUGCUGCAUGGCUGUCGUCAGCUCGUGUCGUGAGAUGUUGGGUUAAGUCCCGCAACGAGCGCAACCCUUGUCAUUAGUUGCUACGAAAGAGCACUCUAAUGAGACUGCCGGUGACAAACCGGAGGAAGGUGGGGAUGACGUCAAGUCCUCAUGGCCCUUAUGGGUAGGGCUUCACACGUCAUACAAUGGUACAUACAGAGGGCCGCCAACCCGCGAGGGGGAGCUAAUCCCAGAAAGUGUAUCGUAGUCCGGAUUGUAGUCUGCAACUCGACUACAUGAAGUUGGAAUCGCUAGUAAUCGCGGAUCAGCAUGUCGCGGUGAAUACGUUCCCGGGUCU